CAUCAUUCUUUAACACCUUAUUUAAAGUCUAACUGUUUUCUCCUUAGUCACAGCUUGUUGUCUUCUUCGUCCUCCUGCUGCUGUUUCAUGAGAUAUAAACGCAGCCGUGGAGCCCUCCUCUUCAAGUAUGGAAAUUGUCUGAGGAAAGAGACGCCGGCCUGCCUGUCAUUAAAUCCUAGUCAUUCUCCACUGAUGAAGAAGGCGCUUUGGAUACAAAGAUCCUAACGAUGCAUGGAGACAAAUGAGAAGACGAGUGACUCCACGUUGCUUGGCAGGACCGAAGUCACAUAAUGCCACCUAUGCAGAGCGUGUCUGAACCAGGCCUGGGCAGUCCUGGGGAAAGGGCUUUGGGGCGGGGCCGGCACUGGAAUCACUGUCCCCUCCUCCACUGCCCAUCUCCCUCCACUGCUGACAAUCUCUGCACUGAAGUCUCUUGGAGCAUCUUCAAUGACUUUGAGAGCAAACACAUUUGUAAGUUGCAAAUUUGAAUCUGACAUUUAACUGGCAUUUUCCUGAAAGGCACCACAGUGGGGCAAUCUUCAUUUUCUCUGACUGUCUUUAAACAAUAAUUUUGAACAUCGAAAAAACAAGCUCUCUGUUUUGUUCUUAAAUUAUAACCUGAAAGUUUGGCCAAUCUUCCCUAAGGAUAUUGAUUUUCCUAGGAAAAUAAAAUGAAGGGG
This 680-nucleotide long non-coding RNA is filed under the name Equus caballus (horse). RNAcentral's name for it is "lncRNA (ENSECAG00000043197.2)". The record is from RNAcentral. Lineage: Eukaryota; Metazoa; Chordata; Mammalia; Perissodactyla; Equidae.